RNAcentral lists this ribosomal RNA (637 nucleotides) under uncultured bacterium. RNAcentral's name for it is "bacterial SSU rRNA". It matches the Rfam family "Bacterial small subunit ribosomal RNA", at positions 202 to 842 of the family's 1533-position model. The record is from RNAcentral.
UAAAGGUAUUCCGGUAGACGAUGGGGAUGCGUUCCAUUAGAUAGUAGGCGGGGUAACGGCCCACCUAGUCUUCGAUGGAUAGGGGUUCUGAGAGGAAGGUCCCCCACAUUGGAACUGAGACACGGUCCAAACUCCUACGGGAGGCAGCAGUGAGGAAUAUUGGUCAAUGGGCGAGAGCCUGAACCAGCCAAGUAGCGUGAAGGAUGACUGCCCUAUGGGUUGUAAACUUCUUUUAUAAAGGAAUAAAGUCGGGUAUGGAUACCCGUUUGCAUGUACUUUAUGAAUAAGGAUCGGCUAACUCCGUGCCAGCAGCCGCGGUAAUACGGAGGAUCCGAGCGUUAUCCGGAUUUAUUGGGUUUAAAGGGAGCGUAGAUGGAUAUUUAAGUCAGUUGUGAAAGUUUGCGGCUCAACCGUAAAAUUGCAGUUGAUACUGGAUAUCUUGAGUGCAGUUGAGGCAGGCGGAAUUCGUGGUGUAGCGGUGAAAUGCUUAGAUAUCAUGAAGAACUCCGAUUGCGAAGGCAGCCUGCUAAGCUGCAACUGACAUUGAGGCUCGAAAGUGUGGGUAUCAAACAGGAUUAGAUACCCUGGUAGUCCACACGGUAAACGAUGAAUACUCGCUGUUUGCGAUAUACUGCAA